CAUGGAUAAUAAAAUAAAUGGAUAGGACUCUAGCUGACGUAAGCAAAAACAACCUGGUUGCAAUCUGUGACGUCACGCGUAUAUUGCAAAGUUCUCGGCAUUUUUGUUGUUUCGCUAUAUUUUCCGCUUUAAAAGAGUAAUAUUGAAGCAUAAACUGGUCUAAUUGUUUUAAAAACAUGCCUAAGCCACGACAAAGUAUUCAAGGUAAAUGUUUUUCGUCUUUGUUUUGUAUUUUUUUUACAUUUGUAGCUACGAAAUUGGCGUCCCCAAUUUUAAGGAAAUUUGCGAUGCAUUUUUCACUGUUUAGUGCCUGAAAUAUUUGCUAAAAUUGACUGGGAAUACUUAGAGAUUUCAUCGUAGAAUGGCGUAGUCAUAUU
Paramuricea clavata is the source of this 377-nucleotide non-coding RNA. The record is from the annotation of a GenBank genome assembly. Lineage: Eukaryota; Metazoa; Cnidaria; Anthozoa; Malacalcyonacea; Plexauridae.